This 324-nucleotide ribosomal RNA is filed under the name uncultured bacterium. Its description in RNAcentral is "bacterial SSU rRNA". It matches the Rfam family "Bacterial small subunit ribosomal RNA", at positions 30 to 355 of the family's 1533-position model. The record is from RNAcentral.
AUUGAACGCUGGUGGCAUGCUUAACACAUGCAAGUCGAACGGUAACAGAGCUAGCUUGCUAGCUGCUGACGAGUGGCGGACGGGUGAGUAACGCGUAGGAAUCUACCUACUGGAGGGGAUACCAUCUGGAAACGGAUGCUAAUAACCGCAUAAUACCUAAGGGUUAAAGGUGGCCUUGUGCUGCCGCCAGCUGAUGAGCCUGCGUUGGAUUAGCUAGUUGGUGAGGUAAGGGCUCACCAAGGCUACGAUCCAUAGCUGAUUUGAGAGGAUGAUCAGCCACAUUGGGACUGAGACACGGCCCAAACUCCUACGGGAGGCAGCAGU